This 332-nucleotide long non-coding RNA is filed under the name Nicotiana benthamiana. RNAcentral's name for it is "long non-coding RNA (NBEN_LNC001909)". Lineage: Eukaryota; Viridiplantae; Streptophyta; Magnoliopsida; Solanales; Solanaceae. The record is from RNAcentral.
AACCUAAGGACUAAUACCAGUGCCAAUGAAAGGGAUACUGCAUGCGGCAGGUAUAAAAGUAUAUACUCUAGAAAACUACAUCAACUAACACCAUUCUCAUAUAGAAGAAUCUAAGCUGCAAGGCAGUUGCUCUGAAUCUACUCAUUUGUUAAUGCCUCGGCUACCCAAAUCAGCUGCAGCUUUAGCCGCUUUACUUAAAGCACCAGACAUCCAAAGAGCUCCUUUGGAAAAGUAGCUACUGUUAACAACAGCACUUGCAGCAGAGACACCAGUUCUACCUGUAGCUGACACAGCUGAUCUGGUGGUAUCCGAUAUGUGAUACCUCUGAUCCA